Molecule: ribosomal RNA, 684 nt
Filed under: Ehrlichia canis
Lineage: Bacteria; Pseudomonadati; Pseudomonadota; Alphaproteobacteria; Rickettsiales; Anaplasmataceae
Description: bacterial SSU rRNA
Rfam family: Bacterial small subunit ribosomal RNA
Source: RNAcentral
ACGCUGUAAACGAUGAGUGCUAAAUGUGAGGAUUUUAUCUUUGUAUUGUAGCUAACGCGUUAAGCACUCCGCCUGGGGACUACGGUCGCAAGACUAAAACUCAAAGGAAUUGACGGGGACCCGCACAAGCGGUGGAGCAUGUGGUUUAAUUCGAUGCUACGCGAAAAACCUUACCACUUUUUGACAUGAAGGUCGUAUCCCUCCUAACAGGGGGAGUCAGUUCGGCUGGACCUUACACAGGUGCUGCAUGGUUGUCGUCAGCUCGUGUCGUGAGAUGUUGGGUUAAGUCCCGCAACGAGCGCAACCCUCAUUCUUAGUUACCAACAGGUAAUGCUGGGCACUCUAAGGAAACUGCCAGUGAUAAACUGGAGGAAGGUGGGGAUGAUGUCAAAUCAGCACGGCCCUUAUAGGGUGGGCUACACACGUGCUACAAUGGCAACUACAAUAGGUUGCGAGACCGCAAGGUUUAGCUAAUCCAUAAAAGUUGUCUCAGUUCGGAUUGUUCUCUGAAACUCGAGAGCAUGAAGUCGGAAUCGCUAGUAAUCGUGGAUCAUCACGCCACGGUGAAUACGUUCUCGGGUCUUGUACACACUGCCCGUCACGCCAUGGGAAUUGGCUUAACUCGAAGCUGGUGUGCUAACCGCAAGGAAGCAGCCAUUUAAGGUUGGGUUAGUGACUAGGGUG